This is a long non-coding RNA of Tympanuchus pallidicinctus (lesser prairie-chicken), 3566 nucleotides long. RefSeq lists it as uncharacterized. The record is from RefSeq and is a predicted model, not a curated record. NCBI's taxonomy places the organism in Eukaryota, Metazoa, Chordata, Aves, Galliformes, Phasianidae. The transcript is spliced from 2 exons.
ACUUGCUUGCUCGCUUGCUCGCUGCCUAGCAGUGUGUGGGUGUGCUCUCCAGCCGUACAUCUUCAGUUCAAAGAAGCUGUCUAGGGGGAUGCUUUUACUCAGAGACUGUCUGGGCAUCAGUCAGAGGAUAGCGAACAUAUUUAACAUGGAUCACUUGUUUCAUAUUUCUUAUCAUUCAGUCCUGCAGAGAAGGACUUGAGGGUUCAGGUGGACAAAAAGCUGGACAUGAGCCAGCAAUAUACUCUUGCCAACAGUAUCCUGGGCUACAUCAAGAGAGGGAUGGCCAGUAGAAAAAGGGAGGUGGCUGUUCCCCUCUGCUCUGCCUUCAUGAGGUCCCAUCUGGAGUACUGCAUCCAAGCCUGGGGACCUCAAUACAAGAAAGAGACAGAACGGUUGAAGUGGAUCAAGAAGGACACAAGGAUGAUCAAAGGUCUGCAGCACCUUUCCUAUGAAAAACUUUUGAGACACCUGGACUUGCUUAGCCUGGAGAAGACUUUGAGGGAACCUCAUUGAAGCUUUCCAGCACUUGAAGGGAGCUUAUUAAGCAGGAAGGGAAACAAUUUUUAUACAGUCCAAUAGUGAUAGGACAAGGAUGAACGGCUUUAAAGUAAAAAAGGGGAAAUACAGGUGUGGGGAAGAAAAUUUUCACCCAGAGGGUGAUAAGGCACUGGAACAGGCUACCCAGGUAUGCUGUGGAUGCCCUAUCUCUGGAGAUGUUCAAGGCCAGGUUGGAUAGGACCACUGGCAAACUGGUCUAGGAGGAGGCAGCUCUUCCCAUGGUUGGAACUGGCUGGGCUUUAAGGUCCCUUCUAAUCCAAGUCAUUCUAUGAUUCUGUGAUUCUGUGAUUAUCAUCAAUAUUAUUUUCCCCUCCUUUUCAGUAUUAUGAAAUUGGCUUUAUCUCAACCCAUGAGUUUUACCUUUUUCUGAUUCCUUCUCCAAUCUCACAAUACGGUAUGAGCAAACAGCCGUGCAGUUUGUUCACUGUACAACUGUGCAGCUGCCUGCCAGGUUAAACCACAGCAUUAACAGACACCACAAAACAUGCCUAAUGCACGCAGAGGAGAUUAAUUAAUUUACAGAGUACAUGCAACAGUGGGCUAAAAUAAGCUCUAGGAGAAAACAACUGUCCUAUCUGUGAGAGCUACCUUCUGGGUGCCAGAUAGUGCAUUAAAAGUAGAGCUUUCCAAACUAAGAGUAGUGACCACAGCAGCAUUUGUGGCACAUAGCUGUGGAGGAAUAAAUCAAAUGAAGAUAAACUUCCAAAACUGAGAAUCAUUAAAGAAGUCAUAAAUCAGGAGGUGAAACUGGAAGGUCAUUUUUGCGAACAUAGAAUUUAGGUGAAAUUGACUUUUUACUUAGUUCUCCUUUAUAGGCACUAUAUGCAAUUAUUUACUAAGAACUCACUGAAAUCAUACAGGAACACAACAGAAUGUUGCUUUAGAGCAACCACUUAUCACUUGCUUACCACUUACCUGGCACCUUGCUGGUUAUUUUAUAAAGAUAUAGCUAUCAUGACAUGUACAGUGAUACUCUGAACAGGAGUCUUUCCCUGUACAUGAGAAACACUGAUAAACACACAAGUCAUCUCUGCAGAGAUAUUUUGACUAAAGCUUGUUCUAAAUCUGUUCCAUUUGCUUGCCACAGACAGCCCUCUCCAUUCACUUCAUCCAUUUUCCUAUCUUUCAGAGUUAGUAAAAGUUCAUUUAUUUGUGUUUAACAGCAGCUGUUUUUACUCAUUAUGACUUAUUCUAAACAACGGUAUUCUUGUUCUAAGUAACAGAGUACUAGCAUGCAGAUAUCUUUCUUUUCAAAUAUUUUGGAAGAUACUAUUCUUAACUGAUCUUCCUAUUCAUGUUAAAAAGUAAAGAAAUAAAAGAAGACAGAAGCUAGCUGUUCUUUACUAACAAAAAGCUAUGUUAUGUGCUUGUUUUCACAACUAUACUAAAAGAAGUAGCUAGUACAAAAUUUAAUAUAUAUGCUUACUUUACAGCUAAAUUGACUGUGUGAUAACCCGUAAUGUUAGCUCAAUUUUAAAUUGUCCAGAGACAUUUAUAUGAAUGUGUGUAAUCAACGGAACAUACAAAGUUACAUAAUUAAUGGAAAAUGUUUCCACAGUUCAAUGAAAGUAAUUAUAGCACCUGCGUUAUUGAAUUACGUAAAUUAGAGUUCUCUCAUCUUAGUCACUGUCCUUCCCUAACAACAAGUAUGCAAAAAUGUCUUUGUUAUUUGAAAAAUCAUUUUUGAAUUGUUAGGAACUUCAUAUUCAGAGCAUACAUUUAUUAGCAGUAUUUUAUUUUUAGUGCAAGAAAAUAUUAUCUUUUGUUCCUUUAUUUCAAACUCUUUCCUUGAACAUUUAUAUAUAGAAAUCUAACCGAGGACAUUAUUUUGGAAAUCUAUAUGGAACUGUAACCUAUAUGUCAAAACGUGUAUCCAAUUGUAUUAAACAUUAUGACCAUGGAUGCCAGUUCCUAACCCUAGCUAACAUGGCUCAGCCUCAGGCUCAUCAGUCAGGCUUGUAUUCAUCCAACUGCAAUGAAACAGAUAUCACAGCUCUGACUUGGCAUCACAUUUAAAUAAGUUCAGCUAUACAGAAGCUAGACAUCUAGCCUAAAUUGCCUCCAUAGUCUACAGAGAGAAAGAGAGAGAAAAAGCCAAAAGAAGAGGUACAGAAUUACAAAAAUUCUAGUGGCAGGAAGUGACCUCUAGAGAUCCCCAAGUCCAACCCCCUGCUAAAGCAGGGUCCCUACAGAUUACAUAGGGAAGAAGCAUCCAGGUGAGUGAUGAUCUCCAGAGAAGGAGACUCCACAGCAUCUCUGGACAGCUUGUUCCAGUGCUCUGUCACUGGACCACUCUUAAAGACUUUUCUUGUGUUUGUAUGAAACAUCCUGUGUUUUAGUUUCCUUCUUGCUACUUUGCUAUAAAAUUAAUAUUCUUUCAGCAAAGAGUAUUACUUUGUCCUUUACUUUGUCCUUUUUUGGAGUCUGGAUAUCCAAGCAGUACUAAACACAUACACUAUUCCAGAUCAUGAAAUAUAUGUGAAAUUAGACCUUUGUUUGAAUUGUGUAUUAACAUGUAUGCAGGGUGUGAACUGUACAAUGUAAAUUUGCAUCCUAACACAUCAAACUAGUCUUCUUGAGUAAGCUGCCUCCAAGCUCAACACACUCAGUCAGACAGCUAGACUGAAUCUGCCCUUCACAUGGUCACGGUACACCAUUUCAAUUCAUAACACUAAGAAAUACAUUAUAUGAAUUUUUACACUUUGCAUUCAAUGGAAUUCACAUUUGUACAUAACAGGGACUAAAUAUGCGAGGAAAAUGAACAUUUCAUGAAUUCAUACCAAAUGGGUCACCAGACUAUUGUUUUGUAAUCUUCAACUAUGUUCAGCAUCUCCUAAUGACUUACCCAUGGCUUUUGUGAAACGAGGGGUUGUUUUCAGUAUGAGUGUCAACUAGCAGGUGUCUACCGCAUAUUACUUUUUGUCAUGUCAAGUAUCACCAGUGCCCCAAGAACGUCCAAGAAGUUAACAUCAUUUGGAUAUAGGGUAAACUAUCUAUUUCAUUCCAAA